Molecule: ribosomal RNA, 253 nt
Filed under: uncultured bacterium
Lineage: Bacteria
Description: partial 16S ribosomal RNA
Rfam family: Bacterial small subunit ribosomal RNA
Source: RNAcentral
UACAGAGGGGGCAAGCGUUGUUCGGAAUUACUGGGCGUAAAGGGCGCGUAGGCGGCCUGUUAAGUCGAACGUGAAAUCCCCGGGCUCAACCCGGGAACUGCGUCCGAAACUGGCAGGCUCGAAUUCGGGAGAGGGAUGCGGAAUUCCAGGUGUAGCGGUGAAAUGCGUAGAUAUCUGGAGGAACAUCGGUGGCGAAGGCGGCAUCCUGGACCGAUAUUGACGCUGAGGCGCGAAAGCGUGGGGAGCAAACAGG